AUGAACGCUGGCGGCGUGCCUAAUACAUGCAAGUCGAGCGCACGGACGAGAAGCUUGCUUCUCUGAUGUUAGCGGCGGACGGGUGAGUAACACAUGGAUAACCUACCUAUAAGACUGGGAUAACUUCGGGAAACCGUAGCUAAUACCGGAUAAUAUUUUGAACCGCAUGGUUCAAAAGUGAAAGACGGUCUUGCUGUCACUUAUAGAUGGAUCCGCGCUGCAUUAGCUACUUGGUAAGGUAACGGCUUACCAAGGCAACGAUGCAUAGCCGACCUGAGAGGGUGAUCGGCCACACUGGAACUGAGACACGGUCCAGACUCCUACGGGAGGCAGCAGUAGGGAAUCUUCCGCAAUGGGCGAAAGCCUGACGGAGCAACGCCGCGUGAGUGAUGAAGGUCUUCGGAUCGUAAAACUCUGUUAUUAGGGAAGAACAUAUGUGUAAGUAACUGUGCACAUCUUGACGGUACCUAAUCAGAAAGCCACGGCUAACUACGUG
This 496-nucleotide ribosomal RNA is filed under the name uncultured bacterium. RNAcentral's name for it is "partial 16S ribosomal RNA". It matches the Rfam family "Bacterial small subunit ribosomal RNA", at positions 29 to 507 of the family's 1533-position model. The record is from RNAcentral.